Exaiptasia diaphana is the source of this 393-nucleotide long non-coding RNA. RefSeq lists it as uncharacterized. The record is from RefSeq and is a predicted model, not a curated record. Lineage: Eukaryota; Metazoa; Cnidaria; Anthozoa; Actiniaria; Aiptasiidae. The transcript has 3 exons.
UUGCUGGAGAUAAGUUCAAUCAAGAAACCAGAAAAAUGGCGUAUUAACGUAGACAAAGACACUUUGGAGUGUAAUAUCAAAGACAACAACUACAACCUUGUGUCUGUACAAUGGAAGAUCAUCAACAAGGAYAAUAUACCAGACGACUUCCUUGCCAAGCCUAAGUUUGAAGAGAUUCGAGAUGCUGGCGGGAAACUCGUUGGUUCUCGUCUUCAUUUAUUGGAUGUCACUCCAGAAAACGCAAGACUGGAUUACGUCUGCGUAGCGACCAACGUCAACGGAGAAACACGCAAGACUGUGAACGUUCCUUGGCCUUUCCCCGUUUAAAGGUUUCUUUGCUGAAUUUGAUUCGAAAUCAGUCUGAUGAAGAAGCAAAAAGACUUCAAUCUUAGA